Non-coding RNA from Zootoca vivipara (common lizard), 1351 nucleotides. Lineage: Eukaryota; Metazoa; Chordata; Lepidosauria; Squamata; Lacertidae. The record is from RefSeq and is a predicted model, not a curated record.
AGGGACACGAUCCCCGCCGAUUAAAGGCUGCUCUUGAAACCCAGCGUUCGGCUGGGAUGAUUGCCGUUGUUAUUAUUCUUUAUCGCGGCCCAGAUCUGAAAGCAAUCUUUGGCUGAGGGCAGGGAAGGAGGCCGUGGGUUCUGGGAAAAUGAACGAAAGCAGCGCGCCGGAUCUUGUGCCAGAGUUGGGUUCCAGAAACAGCCGUGAUUGUAGGAAUGCAUGGCUAAAUAUUGGACAAACAGCUCCGUGGUGUUCACCAUGAGGAAAAUGCUGUCCGGGUUGAUGUUGGAGACCUCAGGCAAGCUCUUCAUGAUCACCUGGAUGUGAGACAGCAGCAGCGACACCAGCUGGCUUUCUUCGCCGCCACCGAUUCCACUAACCUUCCCGGACCAUCUCCCUCCCACAACCGUGUGGCUGUUCUGUAGCAUUCCGCAGAUUUAUACCAUUAAACUGUGGGAGGAGAAGGAGGAAGACACAUGCACUCAGCAGCACAUUCCCACUGAUGAAAUGCAAUAGAGGCAGUGAAAAAAGUCUCCUUUGCCAUCGCCAUCGCCACUUGGUAGGCUCAACGUUGAGCUCUAGCCCGUGUCCGGUCUGAUUCAGAGUGAGUUUUCCGCCACCGGCGCUCUAGCCGUCUCAGUGAUUGUUUCAUCACCCUCAGCUCCUGGGAAAACCACGGGGCUGUCCGGGCUCCAUGCAAUCGGGGAGGGCGCUUUGGAGCCAGACAGUCAAUAGCCCUGGUUAACUCCAUAUUCCAACGGGUCACCAGGGAAUCAGCUGAAAAGCCAUCAACAUGGGAUAAAGCAUCCCCUACCGCUCUCUGGAAGACAUUUGGAUCCAUUAAGUGGUGGGGGCGGACCAUCCGAAUUGGUCCUACCUCUCUGCAGAGGGGAAGGGUCGCAGAGAAGUCCAGUUGCACCAGGAAGUGACCUGACCAUGGCACUUCUUUUGUUUCACUUUUACUUAGUGUCAGAUCACCCCCAUCACUAGAGGUGAACACCAGGUCUAAGGCAAGUCCAUGACUAUGAGUUGGGCCAAACUUAUUCAAGGGCAGCCCCAUGGAAGCCAUGCUUUCCACAAAGUCCUGAGCGGCCCCUUGUAAGGUUGUGUUGGCAUGGAUGUUAAAAUCCCCUAGGACAUCCAAACUAGAUGUCUCCAGGAGAACAUCCGCUACAACCUGAAGCAGCUCAGGCAGGGAAUCCUUGGUGCAGCGGGGAGGUCGGUACACCAAAAGGAAUCCUGUACUGCCCCUAUUGCCCAACUUCCAAAACAUGCACUCAGAAAACUGGGUCUUCCCAAUAGGACGCCUGGUGCAAACUACUGCAAUGACUUCCUAAAAAUCACUGCAACC